RNAcentral lists this long non-coding RNA (402 nucleotides) under Strigops habroptila (Kakapo). RNAcentral's name for it is "lncRNA (ENSSHBG00005016445.1)". The record is from RNAcentral. Lineage: Eukaryota; Metazoa; Chordata; Aves; Psittaciformes; Psittacidae.
CAGCCCCGAGUCCUGCCCAGCCCAGCCCGGCGAGAUGAGGGCGCUGGCGGCCGCGGUGCUGGUGCUGCUGCUGGUGCUGGGGCCCAUCCAGGCCGCCCGGUCCCGGCGCGAGCCCCCGGCCGAGGCUGCUGCUGAGGGCCCGGCCGAGGACUUCUUCAGCCGCCACCUCCAGACCUUCUCCGACUUCAUGACCAAGGACCUGCCCCAGAGGCUGCAGGUGGAGGAGAUGCGGAGCCAGGCUGAGGCGUACCUGGAGCGGGCCAACAAGCAGCUGAUGCCGCUGGCCCAGGAGCUGCGGAGCAACGUCCUCGGGCUCUUCUCCUCCCUCCUGGACCUGGGCAAGAGCAAGGAGCAGCCCUGAGCCCCCCCGGCCCCCGGCCCCCAAUAAACCCCUUGAGGCGC